UACGGAGGGAGCUAGCGUUGUUCGGAAUUACUGGGCGUAAAGCGCGCGUAGGCGGCUUUGUAAGUUAGAGGUGAAAGCCCGGAGCUCAACUCCGGAACUGCCUUUAAAACUGCAUCGCUUGAAUCCAGGAGAGGUGAGUGGAAUUCCGAGUGUAGAGGUGAAAUUCGUAGAUAUUCGGAAGAACACCAGUGGCGAAGGCGGCUCACUGGACGGUUUCUGACGCUGAGGCACGAAAGCGUGGGGAGCAAACAGG
This 253-nucleotide ribosomal RNA is filed under the name uncultured bacterium. Its description in RNAcentral is "partial 16S ribosomal RNA". It matches the Rfam family "Bacterial small subunit ribosomal RNA", at positions 524 to 776 of the family's 1533-position model. The record is from RNAcentral.